Non-coding RNA from Coffea arabica (coffee), 429 nucleotides. The record is from RefSeq and is a predicted model, not a curated record. NCBI's taxonomy places the organism in Eukaryota, Viridiplantae, Streptophyta, Magnoliopsida, Gentianales, Rubiaceae.
UUUCAGUGAUCAGCAGCAAAUGUCGCCUCCUCCUGGACCCUACUCUGGCACCAGCACUCUCGCCUUGGUGGCUCGUGCUUCAGCCUUCACGUUUGGAGUCGUCUAUGGAAAUUUGAAGCUUAAGUAUCUUAAGGCCAGAAUAUUGCAAAACCCAUUCUGGCUACGUAUCCUUCUCAAAUGUCUCAAAUGGCCCUGCUUCUGAUCAUUCCGUUGUGAAGAUAUCAAGUAGGAGUCAUGUGUUUGUGCAUGACUAUCAGAGGCCUACUUACAAAUCCUGGGGUGACGUGACUCAAUACUAUAAGAGAAGAAAGGAAGCUUAUCGUGCUGAACGGACUUCUAGUUUGCCUAGUUUGACAGAUGGAAGUGAUCACAAAUUUAGACAACAAAGCACUGAUAAUGACUUAUCUUGUCCAUCUACUAGUAAUUCAC